GCCGACUUAGCUCAGCAGGCAGAGCACUUCCAUGGUAAGGAAGGGGUCGCCGGUUCGAUUCCGGCAGUCGGCUCCA
Molecule: transfer RNA, 76 nt
Filed under: Acetomicrobium flavidum
Lineage: Bacteria; Thermotogati; Synergistota; Synergistia; Synergistales; Acetomicrobiaceae
Also listed under: 8 other names
Description: tRNA-Thr
Rfam family: tRNA
About the family: Transfer RNA (tRNA) molecules are approximately 80 nucleotides in length. Their secondary structure includes four short double-helical elements and three loops (D, anti-codon, and T loops). Further hydrogen bonds mediate the characteristic L-shaped molecular structure. tRNAs have two regions of fundamental functional importance: the anti-codon, which is responsible for specific mRNA codon recognition, and the 3' end, to which the tRNAs corresponding amino acid is attached (by aminoacyl-tRNA synthetases). tRNAs cope with the degeneracy of the genetic code in two manners: having more than one tRNA (with a specific anti-codon) for a particular amino acid; and 'wobble' base-pairing, i.e. permitting non-standard base-pairing at the 3rd anti-codon position.
Source: RNAcentral